Non-coding RNA from Dermatophagoides farinae (American house dust mite), 275 nucleotides. Lineage: Eukaryota; Metazoa; Arthropoda; Arachnida; Sarcoptiformes; Pyroglyphidae. The record is from RefSeq and is a predicted model, not a curated record.
UUGUUUUUUUUCUUGCUGCUGUGGUCGUUGUUUUGUUUUUCAAAUUUUUUUCACUAUUAUACAGUGUUUAUUCCCAUUGGAAUUUAGAAAAAAAAACGUUAAUCAUUGAAUAUUCAUGUGUGUGUGUGUGUGUGAUAUACAGACACAAUGUCUCAUUGUUGAUCGGAUUUUGUUUGUCUGAAAUUUUUGGAAUUGUCUACUAUAAACACAAAUAUAUCAGUAUUACCAAUUUGUGAUCAAUACAACCAAAAAAAAACAACAACAACAAAACAAAA